This 180-nucleotide unclassified non-coding RNA is filed under the name uncultured Aspergillus. RNAcentral describes it as "sequence contains ITS1". The record is from RNAcentral. Lineage: Eukaryota; Fungi; Ascomycota; Eurotiomycetes; Eurotiales; Aspergillaceae.
CCGAGUGCGGGCCCUCUGGGUCCAACCUCCCAUCCGUGUCUCUUGUACCCUGUUGCUUCGGCGGGCCCGCCUUUUGGCCGCCGGGGGGCUUCCUGCCCCCGGGCCCGCGCCCGCCGGAGACUCCAACAUUGAACACUGUCUGAAGGUUGCAGUCUGAGUUUUCAUAAAGAAAAAUCGUUA